RNAcentral lists this ribosomal RNA (253 nucleotides) under uncultured bacterium. RNAcentral describes it as "partial 16S ribosomal RNA". It matches the Rfam family "Bacterial small subunit ribosomal RNA", at positions 524 to 776 of the family's 1533-position model. The record is from RNAcentral.
UACGGAGGGUGCGAGCGUUGUCCGGAAUCACUGGGCGUAAAGGGCGCGUAGGUGGCGCAACAAGUCAACGGUGAAAGCUCGGCGCUCAACGCCGAGUCGGCCGUCGAUACUGUUGGGCUGGAGCACUGUAGAGGCAGAUGGAAUUCCGGGUGUAGCGGUGGAAUGCGUAGAGAUCCGGAAGAACACCGGUGGCGAAGGCGGUCUGCUGGGCAGUAACUGACGCUGAGGAGCGAAAGCGUGGGGAGCGAACAGG